RNAcentral lists this transfer RNA (73 nucleotides) under Rivibacter subsaxonicus. RNAcentral's name for it is "Methylibium subsaxonicum tRNA". It matches the Rfam family "tRNA". From Rfam's summary of the family: Transfer RNA (tRNA) molecules are approximately 80 nucleotides in length. Their secondary structure includes four short double-helical elements and three loops (D, anti-codon, and T loops). The record is from Rfam by way of RNAcentral. Lineage: Bacteria; Pseudomonadati; Pseudomonadota; Betaproteobacteria; Burkholderiales.
AGGGGGUUCGCCAAGUUGGUAAGGCAUCGGAUUUUGAUUCCGACAUGCGGGGGUUCGAGUCCCUCACCCCCUG